CAAUAGCGUAUAUUAAAGUUGUUGCAGUUAAAAAGCUCGUAGUUGGAUUUCUGUUCUCGGGAACUGGUCCGCCUCACGGUGAGCACUGGCUUUCUGGGGACAUCCUCUCGAAGGCGGCGGGUGCACUUAAUUGUGUGUCUGUUGGAUUCGGGACCUUUACUUUGAAAAAUUAGAGUGUUCAAAGCAGGCGUCGGCUUGAAUACAUUAGCAUGGAAUAAUGGAAUAGGACUUUGGUUCUAUUUUGUUGGUUUCUAGGACCGAAGUAAUGAUUAAUAGGGACAGUUGGGGGCAUUAGUAUUUAAUUGUCAGAGGUGAAAUUCUUGGAUUUAUGAAAGACUAACUACUGCGAAAGCAUUUGCCAAGGAUGUUUUCAUUAAUCAAGAACGAAAGUUAGGGGAUCGAAGACGAUCAGAUACCGU
RNAcentral lists this ribosomal RNA (419 nucleotides) under uncultured eukaryote. RNAcentral's name for it is "SSU rRNA". It matches the Rfam family "Eukaryotic small subunit ribosomal RNA", at positions 592 to 1018 of the family's 1831-position model. The record is from RNAcentral.